This 700-nucleotide ribosomal RNA is filed under the name uncultured bacterium. RNAcentral's name for it is "bacterial SSU rRNA". It matches the Rfam family "Bacterial small subunit ribosomal RNA", at positions 79 to 775 of the family's 1533-position model. The record is from RNAcentral.
CUUGCACCUGGUGGCGAGUGGCGAACGGGUGAGUAAUACAUCGGAACGUACCUUAUCGUGGGGGAUAACGCAGCGAAAGCUGUGCUAAUACCGCAUACGCCCUGAGGGGGAAAGCGGGGGAUCGAAAGACCUCGCGCGAUUAGAGCGGCCGAUGCCUGAUUAGCUUGUUGGUGGGGUAAAAGCCCACCAAGGCGACGAUCAGUAGCUGGUCUGAGAGGACGAUCAGCCACACUGGGACUGAGACACGGCCCAGACACCUACGGGAGGCAGCAGUGGGGAAUUUUGGACAAUGGGGGCAACCCUGAUCCAGCAAUGCCGCGUGAGUGAAGAAGGCCUUCGGGUUGUAAAGCUCUUUUGUCAGGGAAGAAACACCGGCUCUAACACAGUCCGGGAAUGACGGUACCUGAAGAAUAAGCACCGGCUAACUACGUGCCAGCAGCCGCGGUAAUACGUAGGGUGCGAGCGUUAAUCGGAAUUACUGGGCGUAAAGCGUGCGCAGGCGGUUAUACAAGACAGGCGUGAAAUCCCCGGGCUUAACCUGGGAAUGGCGCCUGUGACUGUAUAGCUAGAGUGUGUCAGAGGGGGGUAGAAUUCCACGUGUAGCAGUGAAAUGCGUAGAUAUGUGGAGGAAUACCAAUGGCGAAGGCAGCCCCCUGGGAUAACACUGACGCUCAUGCACGAAAGCGUGGGGAGCAAACAG